GACCUCAUCCGCGUGGAGGACGUGCGCUAACACUGAGCUAAGCGCGCCGCGAUGCUUCGGCGCGAUUCACAGGCAUGAAAGCCCUCCUCCUCGUCGCACCGGGCAUGAAACCGUGACUUCUCGGAACUAACACAUACUCUGGCCGCCCCAUCCUACCCCUCCCCGCUCCCAUGCACAUUUCCGAAAAAGAGAGACACGUCUUGCUUGCCAUCCGCACCAUCGCGACGGGAAAGUAUUUCACGAAAACGCACGCCAAGAACAAGGUUCACGAAGCCUAUCCCGAGGUUUCUUUUGAUGAGUUUUGGACCGCUUUGAAAAGGCUGAAAUCAUCGUCGCCAGGCCUGGACAUGCGGAGCCGGGCGGGGAGGAUGUUUUUGAGAUCGAGCUACCGUAGGUUAGGUGGUGAUUGCUGGGGGCGACUUUCUCCGCCGUUCUGGCGUGACGCCACUCCAGAAAGCGGACAGGAGUGUGCGCGCUUCCUUCAGGGUCCGCGCUCUCCUUCCGUUUCAGGCCGAUCUAAACUUUUACGUAGUUGUGCAUGGGAGGAGUACGAAGGUAAAUUUCUCCAUGAAUCAAUCAUCCUUGAACAAUCAAACACCACAGGCCUUCGUGACCGUGAAUCGCCCUGCUGGAGGAAGGCCGUGCCACCCUUGCCAUGUGGACGGGCCACUCGUGGUGGGGUGAGCAACGCGAGCUUGUGGUGAAGGCCUGGCAGGCGUUUUCCGCGGCGCCGGUUUCCGCCAUGGAAGCGAAUGCGGAACGACGUUAGGGCUUUCGUCCUCCACCUUGGUGCCAUUACUCGCGAGCUGGGUCAUCGUCCUACCGUUGGGCUUGCCCGAUCCAUCCACGCCGUUGAGGAUGAGUUCGCCGGCGGACGGUUGGAGUACCAAAGAAUAGUCGUUUGGUUUCGCCGCCUUUUUCCCAGUCGAGGCGAAGCGUUUUCCCUCGGAUGGACCACGUCGCAUUGUAGCCACUGCUGGAAGUCAGGGUCUUGUCGGCAUUGAACGUCCAGGUGCGCGUGUCUGAACCGAGGCGGUACUUCCAGGGCUUCGCCAACAGUAUCUCGCGUGUGACGACGCUAUCCUUUGCCGCAUCCCCUACUCCGCCGGGGGAACCCGAAGCGGCGCCUACGACGAUGGGAGGUGGCACAGGCGCCGUCAGCGCAUCGCGGUAUUUGCGGAGCGCCGUGGCUUCAUCGAGUUUGCCUGCGCUUGUCAAAUGGGUCACGACCGCGUCCAGCGACUUGGCGAACGUCGUUUGCAAAGGCUGGAGGCGCUUGGCCCGAUCCAAAGCAAUGCGACCGGCCGAUGUCCGAUAUACCUCGCGGACUUGCUUGAGCGUGGCCGGAGUCUUGUAGUCGUCCGUCGCAGGCACUCCCUUUCCCUGCGCGAUCGCCUCCACCUCGGCCUUCAGCGCGAUCGCAUCAUCCAGCCGACCCGCCUUCUGCGCGGACUCCAGGGAGCGAUCCAGCGUCGCGGUGUAUUUCGCGUUGAGGUCCGCGAUGGCCGCAUCGAAGACCUGCUGAACGUCGCUCUUCACUCGCAAGUCAUACUGCGUCUUCAGCGCCGCGAACUCCGGUC
Molecule: unclassified non-coding RNA, 1580 nt
Filed under: uncultured fungus
Lineage: Eukaryota; Fungi
Description: sequence contains 18S rRNA gene, ITS1, 5.8S rRNA gene, ITS2, 28S rRNA gene
Source: RNAcentral